AGAGUUUGAUCCUGGCUCAGGACGAACGCUGGCGGCGUGCUUAACACAUGCAAGUCGAACGAGAAUCUGUGGAUCGAGGAUUCGUCCAAGUGAAGCAGAGGACAGUGGCGGACGGGUGAGUAACGCGUGAGGAACCUGCCUUUCAGAGGGGGACAACAGUUGGAAACGACUGCUAAUACCGCAUGAUACAUUUGGGUGGCAUCAUCUGAAUGUCAAAGAUUUAUCGCUGAAAGAUGGCCUCGCGUCUGAUUAGCUAGUUGGUGGGGUAACGGCCCACCAAGGCGACGAUCAGUAGCCGGACUGAGAGGUUGACCGGCCACAUUGGGACUGAGAUACGGCCCAGACUCCUACGGGAGGCAGCAGUGGGGAAUAUUGGGCAAUGGGCGCAAGCCUGACCCAGCAACGCCGCGUGAAGGAAGAAGGCUUUCGGGUUGUAAACUUCUUUUAAGAGGGAAGAGCAGAAGACUGUACCUCUAGAAUAAGCCACGGCUAACUACGUGCCAGCAGCCGCGGUAAUACGUAGGUGGCAAGCGUUGUCCGGAUUUACUGGGUGUAAAGGGCGUGCAGCCGGGAAUGCAAGUCAGAUGUGAAAUCCAUGGGCUUAACCCAUGAACUGCAUUUGAAACUGUAUUUCUUGAGUACUGGAGAGGCAAUCGGAAUUCCUAGUGUAGCGGUGAAAUGCGUAGAUAUUAGGAGGAACACCAGUGGCGAAGGCGGAUUGCUGGACAGCAACUGACGGUGAGGCGCGAAAGUGUGGGGAGCAAACAGGAUUAGAUACCCUGGUAGUCCACACUGUAAACGAUGAAUACUAGGUGUGCGGGGACUGACCCCCUGCGUGCCGCAGUUAACACAAUAAGUAUUCCACCUGGGGAGUACGAUCGCA
RNAcentral lists this ribosomal RNA (883 nucleotides) under uncultured bacterium. Its description in RNAcentral is "bacterial SSU rRNA". It matches the Rfam family "Bacterial small subunit ribosomal RNA", at positions 8 to 890 of the family's 1533-position model. The record is from RNAcentral.